RNAcentral lists this ribosomal RNA (429 nucleotides) under Bacillota bacterium. RNAcentral's name for it is "Firmicutes bacterium partial 16S ribosomal RNA". It matches the Rfam family "Bacterial small subunit ribosomal RNA", at positions 355 to 776 of the family's 1533-position model. The record is from RNAcentral. Lineage: Bacteria; Bacillati; Bacillota.
UAGGGAAUCUUCGGCAAUGGACGGAAGUCUGACCGAGCAACGCCGCGUGAGUGAAGAAGGUUUUCGGAUCGUAAAGCUCUGUUGUUAGAGAAGAACGUUGGUAGGAGUGGAAAAUCUACCAAGUGACGGUAACUAACCAGAAAGGGACGGCUAACUACGUGCCAGCAGCCGCGGUAAUACGUAGGUCCCGAGCGUUUUCCGGAUUUAUUGGGCGUAAAGCGAACGCAGGCGGUUCUUUAGGUCUGAAGUUAAAGGCAGUGGCUUAACCAGUGUACGCUUUGGAAACUGAAGCACUUGAGUGCAGAAGGGGAGAGUGGAAUUCCAUGUGUAGCGGUGAAAUGCGUAGAUAUAUGGAGGAACACCGGUGGCGAAUGCGGCUCUCUGGUCUGUAACUGACGAUGAGGCUCGAAAGCGUGGGGAGCAAACAGG